Non-coding RNA from Phrynosoma platyrhinos (Desert horned lizard), 73 nucleotides. NCBI's taxonomy places the organism in Eukaryota, Metazoa, Chordata, Lepidosauria, Squamata, Phrynosomatidae. The record is from the annotation of a GenBank genome assembly.
AGCAGGAUGGUGCAGUGGUUUGAGUGUUGGUCUAGAACUCUGGGAGACCAGGGUUCGAAUCCCUGGUCAGCCA